UAGGGAAUCUUCGGCAAUGGACGGAAGUCUGACCGAGCAACGCCGCGUGAGUGAAGAAGGUUUUCGGAUCGUAAAGCUCUGUUGUAAGAGAAGAACGAGUGUGAGAGUGGAAAGUUCACACUGUGACGGUAUCUUACCAGAAAGGGACGGCUAACUACGUGCCAGCAGCCGCGGUAAUACGUAGGUCCCGAGCGUUGUCCGGAUUUAUUGGGCGUAAAGCGAGCGCAGGCGGUUAGAUAAGUCUGAAGCUAAAGGCUGUGGCUUAACCAUAGUAGGCUUUGGAAACUGUUUAACUUGAGUGCAAGAGGGGAGAGUGGAAUUCCAUGUGUAGCGGUGAAAUGCGUAGAUACAUGGAGGAACACCGGUGGCGAAAGCGGCUCUCUGGCUUGUAACUGACGCUGAGGCUCGAAAGCGUGGGGAGCAAACAGGAUUAGAUACCCUGGUAGUCCACGCUGUAAACGAUGAGUGCUAGGUGUUAGACCCUUUCCGGGGUUUAGUGCCGUAGCUAACGCAUUAAGCACUCCGCCUGGGGAGUACGACCGCAAGGUUG
Molecule: ribosomal RNA, 550 nt
Filed under: uncultured bacterium
Lineage: Bacteria
Description: bacterial SSU rRNA
Rfam family: Bacterial small subunit ribosomal RNA
Source: RNAcentral